This 468-nucleotide ribosomal RNA is filed under the name uncultured bacterium. Its description in RNAcentral is "partial 16S ribosomal RNA". It matches the Rfam family "Bacterial small subunit ribosomal RNA", at positions 28 to 507 of the family's 1533-position model. The record is from RNAcentral.
GACGAACGCUGGCGGCGUGCUUAACACAUGCAAGUCGAACGGAAAGGCCCUGCUUUUGUGGGGUGCUCGAGUGGCGAACGGGUGAGUAACACGUGAGUAACCUGCCCUUGACUUUGGGAUAACUUCAGGAAACUGGGGCUAAUACCGGAUAGGAGCUCCUGCUGCAUGGUGGGGGUUGGAAAGUUUCGGCGGUUGGGGAUGGACUCGCGGCUUAUCAGCUUGUUGGUGAGGUAGUGGCUUACCAAGGCUUUGACGGGUAGCCGGCCUGAGAGGGUGACCGGCCACAUUGGGACUGAGAUACGGCCCAGACUCCUACGGGAGGCAGCAGUGGGGAAGAUUGCACAAUGGGCGGAAGCCUGAUGCAGCAACGCCGCGUGCGGGAUGACGGCCUGCGGGUUGUAAACCGCUUUCGCCUGUGACGAAGCGUGAGUGACGGUAAUGGGUAAAGAAGCACCGGCUAACUACGUG